GUGAAGAGCUAGGCCAAUCUUUUUUCUUUUUUUUUAAAANAAAGUGAAGUGAAAAUAUAGAGGUGAAUGAGCAACAGCAUAAACUAAGAAGAAAAUGUAAAAGCAUCGAUCAGUUGGCGCGAGGCGGAGGCGGAGGCAGAAGAGGCGGCGUGUAGUGACGAGAGUUGUUUUGGUGGAACUUGUUAAUAAAUGCAGAGGCUUUCCGAUCUGUGAAUGUAUUGUUGUUCCUUGCGUGGAACCUUUUUAUGUAAUCAGAGAAAUUCUCAUCAUCCGCUACUGCUGCUGGAGUUUGUGAGCUUCUGCUGCUAAUCUGAGAUUUUGAUUUCAUGGGUGCCGCAGAAAACGAGGAGAGUUUGAUAAUGUUGAGCACCAACUCCAUCGAUUUCUCGCAAACACCUCUCUUCUUCAUUCUCUAUCCAAUCUGCAAUUCUUUUGAAAAAAGAUAAGUAGGAGAAUUCAUCCUUUUAGAAUGAAGGACACAUGUGUGGAUUCAGAGUAUUCUCAAAUAAAGUGACUGUUGUUUUCGGGGAUAAUCUUCAAUUAUUCUCUUUUUUUUCGCACAUUUCUAGCUUCUCACGUAAUUGGUGGCAUGCGCUAAGGUCUCCACCUUACCGCCUCCCCUCCACACCAUUCUAUUUCUAACCAUAUUUUCACUCUUCUAUUUUAAAAUUAAUAUUUUAUUAAAAUUAAAUUCCAAUAGUAUAUUAAUUAAAAAAUACUUAAAAUAAAAUAUAAUAACUAAAAUUAAAAUUACAAUGAAAGUUUAGAAUUUUAAAACAAAUCAAAAAUUGAAAUUAAAAAAAAUAUAAAUAAAAAUUAUAAAAAACUAAAACUUCCCCACCAAACAAAAGGAAAAGCCGCCCCAAACUCGAACAUCUUCCCUGUGUUCCCCACAGCACAUCAGCAAGGUUUUUCAGAAAUUUUGCAGGUAAAUUUCUUUUAUUUAUUUAUUUUUAAAUUUGCACGUGCUUCCCACGCGAUCACCUCUUCUCCACUCCAGCACGCCAGCGCGGGCGUCCUCGUUCGUCAGCUCGGUCCGGUCCUAUGAGCUUCCUUCACGUAUCUUUUGCUGCUUUUUUAUCAUCAUUUGUAUGAAAUAUGUAGGCGAUAUUGCUUCAAAGCAAGAGAUUGGAAUGUGUGGUUCAUAAUUUGGAAAAAGGAAAAUAUUAC
Molecule: long non-coding RNA, 1170 nt
Filed under: Salvia miltiorrhiza (redroot sage)
Lineage: Eukaryota; Viridiplantae; Streptophyta; Magnoliopsida; Lamiales; Lamiaceae
Description: long non-coding RNA (SMIL_LNC007005)
Source: RNAcentral